AGAGAGAAGUGAAAGAAAUUGUUUGAUUUCUUAAGGCAAAGAAGGAACGACACGCACUUUCGACCUGGAAAUCCCAACAGAAGGCAGGCGACGAAGAAGAAAAUCCUACUCUUCUGUCGCACGGGAAUUAAAAGGCGUUGCGUUGCCCUUGCGAUAAUUUAUCUACAUAUCUCUCCCUCUGUCUGUCUCUAUUCUUUCUUUAUAUCUUUUCCUUAUAAUAAGAUUUACAUGUGUCUUUUGACUUGUUUGUUUAUAAAAGGGCAACCGCAUAAACGUCCCUGUAGACUGCGAGUUUCAGAAUUUCAACGAAAACCCUAAUUUUGGCCUUCUUCUUCGCAGGCGCAUUCAAGGUUAGAGUGAGGUUUGGUCAGCUUUUGUAUGUGUACACUUUGUUAUGGAAGGCGUGAAUAUGCUGCUACCCCAAAAGCCUCUGACAAAAGAUGUUGAUGAUAACAAUGGUGGUGUUCCACAUCCUUCCACCAAUGUUGAUUACCAUCUUAACAUUCUUUUAGCUUCGCACUUGAGUAACCCAGAUCUGACACCCCAGGAGAUUGCUGAGGCCUCUAGAUCCACUGCUGCUGCUGCUGCUGUAGCUGCAAAGGCCGCCCGUGCUACCGCUUAUGAGAAAGCUGCUGCUGCUGCAAAAGCCGUUGCUGCCGCUAAGACUGCUUUAGAUUUUAUUGCCUCCUUUCCCAACCAGGGUCAGGGACUUGUCCAAGACGGUAGGGACAACAUGAAGACGCAUGUUGCUGCUGCUGACUUGUCCUACUCAAAGGAUGAUGACGCAUUACCCUCCUCCUUGCAACCAGGAGACGACACUCAUGGCAUCAUUCCAGGAGACGACACUCAUGGCAUAAUUCCAUACUCCUCUUUGAGCGAGGCUCCCACAGGCUCAAGAGAGAGGCCGAAUACAGAGCAAGCCAUUUCCAAGAGCAUGGAUUUCGAUGGGCCUGGCAUGGAGUUAGAUACCGAUAGACUGAACGGAUCAGCAGCUGGUGGAGAAGGAGCAAAAGAAGAGAUGAUUCAGGUGACCAGAAAGAGGGGGCGGCCAAAGUCCAAAUGAUUUUGCUUCUGUAAUUAUUUUUGGAGUCUAUUUGCUGCAAAUAGACGCAAAUACUGCUGCUUGUAUAUCAUCAAGUCCCUAGAAUGUGUGUGAGAUUUGGAGAGGCUAAAAAAAUUAUGAAAAGAAAACUCACAUAGUUUGUUUUAUUUGGGGGCCGCCGGAUGGUCUGUGGAGCUCUUUCGGCCAUCAUAUCCGAUUUGCCUUGUUUUUAUAUAUGAUCAAACCACUCACUACUCACUUCUUGAUUCUAACUUGAUUCUAAGCAUAUUUUUUUAUUAUUGGCUUUCAUGGGUGGUCUUUCAUACAAAUAGGGUAAAAAGACUCAACAAUACACACAAGUGAGGAGAGUAACAGAAUAACAAGAAAGAAUGCUGCAUGUUGUUUUUUUUUUCUCAAGGUAUGGUAACAACAAUGCUUCUCUUUUUAGACGGGACAAAAAAUAAA
This is a non-coding RNA of Camelina sativa (false flax), 1507 nucleotides long. The record is from RefSeq and is a predicted model, not a curated record. Lineage: Eukaryota; Viridiplantae; Streptophyta; Magnoliopsida; Brassicales; Brassicaceae.